This 163-nucleotide microRNA precursor is filed under the name Oryza brachyantha (malo sina). RNAcentral describes it as "MIR812 microRNA precursor family". It matches the Rfam family "MIR812 microRNA precursor family", at positions 27 to 187 of the family's 205-position model. The record is from Rfam by way of RNAcentral. Lineage: Eukaryota; Viridiplantae; Streptophyta; Magnoliopsida; Poales; Poaceae.
UACAAUAUUUUGACUCUUCGUCUUAUUUGAAAUUUUUUUACGAUUAAUAUUUUUAUUUUUACUAGAUGAUAAAACAUGAAUAGUACAUUAUGCGUGACUAAAUUUUUAAGUUUUUUUACAAAAUUUUCAAAUAAGACGAAUGGUCAAACGUUGGACACGGAAA